UGGGGAAUUUUGGACAAUGGGCGAAAGCCUGAUCCAGCAACGCCGCGUGUGUGAAGAAGGCCUUCGGGUUGUAAAGCACUUUUGUCCGGAAAGAAAUCCUUGGCUCUAAUACAGUCGGGGGAUGACGGUACCGGAAGAAUAAGCACCGGCUAACUACGUGCCAGCAGCCGCGGUAAUACGUAGGGUGCAAGCGUUAAUCGGAAUUACUGGGCGUAAAGCGUGCGCAGGCGGUUUGCUAAGACCGAUGUGAAAUCCCCGGGCUCAACCUGGGGACUGCAUUGGUGACUGGCAGGCUAGAGUAUGGCAGAGGGGGGUAGAAUUCCACGUGUAGCAGUGAAAUGCGUAGAGAUGUGGAGGAAUACCGAUGGCGAAGGCAGCCCCCUGGGCCAAUACUGACGCUCAUGCACGAAAGCGUGGGGAGCAAACAGGAUUAGAUACCCUGGUAGUCCACGCCCUAAACGAUGUCAACUAGUUGUUGGGGGUUCAUUUCCUUAGUAACGUAGCUAACGCGUGAAGUUGACCGCCUGGGGAGUACGGUCGCAAGAUUAAAACUCAAAUGAAUUGACGGGGUCAUAGCUGUUUCCU
Molecule: ribosomal RNA, 585 nt
Filed under: uncultured bacterium
Lineage: Bacteria
Description: partial 16S ribosomal RNA
Rfam family: Bacterial small subunit ribosomal RNA
Source: RNAcentral